RNAcentral lists this ribosomal RNA (253 nucleotides) under uncultured bacterium. RNAcentral's name for it is "partial 16S ribosomal RNA". It matches the Rfam family "Bacterial small subunit ribosomal RNA", at positions 524 to 776 of the family's 1533-position model. The record is from RNAcentral.
UACGAAGGGGGCUAGCGUUGUUCGGAUUUACUGGGCGUAAAGCGCACGUAGGCGGAUUGUUAAGUCAGAGGUGAAAUCCUGGAGCUCAACUCCAGAACUGCCUUUGAUACUGGCAAUCUCGAGUCCGAGAGAGGUGAGUGGAACUCCUAGUGUAGAGGUGGAAUUCGUAGAUAUUAGGAAGAACACCAGUGGCGAAGGCGGCUCACUGGCUCGGUACUGACGCUGAGGUGCGAAAGCGUGGGGAGCGAACAGG